This is a long non-coding RNA of Vidua chalybeata, 1232 nucleotides long. RefSeq lists it as uncharacterized. The transcript is spliced from 4 exons. The record is from RefSeq and is a predicted model, not a curated record. Lineage: Eukaryota; Metazoa; Chordata; Aves; Passeriformes; Viduidae.
CAGAGAUGAGCCAACUCCCAUUUCCUUCAGCAGUUUGCUCAUAAAGGGAUAGAGCAGUGCUGAGGGAAGGAGCAUGUGCUGCAGCCCUUCCUCUUCAGCCUCUCACCAUGGAUGGAGUUGCAGGAUGGCAGUCCUCCUGCUCUGUGGGGAUAGAGGCAGAGGCACAGCUGUGGUGGGCCACAGAAAGCAGGGCUGCACCACAGUACACAUAGUGUUUGAUGCCAGACACACAUCAUGAUGCCAUCCAUUCUGAAUGUGACAAUUUCUUUUACUACAGCUCUAUUGUGGAGGUGUACUAGCAACUGCUGUACAGGGGAUGCUCCUUUCAACCAAGGUCAAGUAAGUGACAUCAAUUGCCAGCAGCUGCUUUCUGCCCAAGUAGAAUUAGCUGUAAUGACUGAUGCAGUCACCUCCUUCAGUUGUCUGCCUCAUGCUGCUUUCCAAGGUUGCUGAAACUCUGGAAAUUAGGCAAAAUCUAUUUUCCUCCUUGCUUUUUGAUUUACUUUGGAGGUGAAAAGAAAGGUGCAUUGAUUAUUGCAGUCCUGCCUUGCCAAGUAAGUGCAGCAAUGAUGCAAAUUCUGCUGUAGUGUUCCAUGGCUCUUAGAAGAUCCAGUGCCCAAGUUUCCACAGUGACACAAGUGUGAACACCUUGCUCUCUAUAACACACCGAAGGACAUCUCAGCAGGCAAAACGAGCCACACACUCAUGGAACUUUGCCAUCAAAACAGUGACUCAGAGAAUGUGGCUCCUUCAGGGCUGCUCAUUAUCUCAAGAGGACAAGCUUCUACGGGAAAUUGUAUGAAAUUCGAUAUAUUAACGUCAACUUAAAAACAAGCAAAGAUAUCACAAAUCCUGUACAGACCUACCUCUGCUAUCACAGGAAAGACAGAAGUAAUUAUUGUAAUAAAUGCUAAAGGCUCACCACCACAUGGUAAAUUUUAGUAUCUAUGAAGCUGGUAACAAUAAGAUAUUUUAAAUCCCUAUUACAGUGAGUAGUACAAGAAAAUCCUUUCCUGUUAUUGGCACAUCAGGUUGUCUAAUGCAGAAGCAUAAAUUACAAAUAUGGAUUACAAUCUGAAGACUCUUAUUUUGAACAAUUGGGGCAAAAAAAAAUAUCAAAAACAAUUCAGAGAUUGUUAGACCCAUUAAAAUAAUCACAAUUGCUUUGUUCUGAUGCUGGGAAAUCCAAAGGAAAACCAAAGGAAAACCGGAACAUAAAACUGAGAAUACAA